Molecule: ribosomal RNA, 301 nt
Filed under: uncultured bacterium
Lineage: Bacteria
Description: partial 16S ribosomal RNA
Rfam family: Bacterial small subunit ribosomal RNA
Source: RNAcentral
CAGUCGCCGCGGUAAUACGUAGGUGGCAAGCGUUGUCCGGAAUUAUUGGGCGUAAAGGGCUCGCAGGCGGUUUCUUAAGUCUGAUGUGAAAGCCCCCGGCUCAACCGGGGAGGGUCAUUGGAAACUGGGAAACUUGAGUGCAGAAGAGGAGAGUGGAAUUCCACGUGUGGCGGUGAAAUGCGUAGAGAUGUGGAGGAACACCAGUGGCGAAGGCGACUCUCUGGUCUGUAACUGACGCUGAGGAGCGAAAGCGUGGGGAGCGAACAGGAUUAGAGACCCGCGUAGUCCCUGUCUCUUAUAC